AGUCGAGGGGCAGCAUUCCAGUUUGCUUGCAAACUGGAGAUGGCGACCGGCGCACGGGUGAGUAACACGUAUCCAACCUGCCGAUAACUCGGGGAUAGCCUUUCGAAAGAAAGAUUAAUACCCGAUGGCAUAAUAGAACCGCAUGGUUUGAUUAUUAAAGAAUUUCGGUUAUCGAUGGGGAUGCGUUCCAUUAGGCAGUUGGUGGGGUAACGGCCCACCAAACCUUCGAUGGAUAGGGGUUCUGAGAGGAAGGUCCCCCACAUUGGAACUGAGACACGGUCCAAACUCCUACGGGAGGCAGCAGUGAGGAAUAUUGGUCAAUGGACGAGAGUCUGAACCAGCCAAGUAGCGUGAAGGAUGACUGCCCUAUGGGUUGUAAACUUCUUUUAUAUGGGAAUAAAGUGGUCCACGUGUGGAUUUUUGUAUGUACCAUAUGAAUAAGGAUCGGCUAACUCCGUGCCAGCAGCCGCGGUAAUACGGAGGAUCCGAGCGUUAUCCGGAUUUAUUGGGUUUAAAGGGAGCGUAGGUGGACAGUUAAGUCAGUUGUGAAAGUUUGCGGCUCA
This 563-nucleotide ribosomal RNA is filed under the name uncultured bacterium. Its description in RNAcentral is "bacterial SSU rRNA". It matches the Rfam family "Bacterial small subunit ribosomal RNA", at positions 60 to 611 of the family's 1533-position model. The record is from RNAcentral.